GGGUACAGAAAUGAAAAAGGGGUUUGGGGGGAAUCAAUGUACAAGUUAUGACAUUCUUUCAUGUUACAACCAAGAUUCCUGCGGGGUGGGGGUUACAACAUAGCAGGGUAAAGCACCAACCCUUAUGGUGUGUUUGCUCAUUCUGUGUAUAACUCUUGUCCUUUCCUUCGCUUUCCCUAACAUAACUAUUUACAUAUUGGUACCUGUCUGCUUUAAUUCUCGCUCUCUCUACUGUCCCUGAUUUGCGCGUGUAUCUGGGUUUUCCCUGUGGUUUAUAGCCAUGAUUCGUUGUCAGCCCUCGUCCUCUUUUUUUUUUUUUCCUUCCUCUCUCUCGCUACUUCCCCUCUCCCCGGCACUCUCUCUCCCUGUCUCCCUCCUAUUUUCUGGCCUGCAGAGCUCGGUUGUUCUGUUCCUACUUCAUGUGGUUCUCAUCACCUCUUCCCAUCUGUCUCUAGCUUGUAUUGCGUGAGCAGAUGCUCCAAAUUUGACGUUUAGUUUGGUUUUGUACAUUAGAUUGGUAGAGAUUUGAGUCAGUAAUGCAGUGUUUUCAGGUCUCGCGGUUUGUUUCCAAGCCCUUGCGAUCAGUGUGUUUGCGGCUAUUAGGAUAUGGAAGAGUAGUAUCGCUUGUGGCCGGUUGUACGUCUCUAAAGUCAUGAACAGCAAACCACAUUCUGGCUGGAGGGGCGCUUGUGUGUCAAGUGCGUUUCGAAUAAUGUCUCCUACUUCUCUCCAGUAUGGUUGUAUUUGGUUACAUGUCCACCAUAUGUGGUACAUACUGCCUUCCUCCAUCCCACACCUCCAACACAGUUUUGACGUUUGUGGAUACAUGGCUGCCAGUCUUGUCGGCACCAUGUACCACCUAUAUUGCAGUUUCCUCAUGAGCUCUAAGUGUGCUGCACAUCUAGAUUUCCCUUUGUGGGCGGUAAAGGCUUUUUGCCAUUGGCUGUCAGUAAAGUGUUUGUGUAGGUCCUCAUGCCAGUGCUCCCUGAAUUUUUCAUCUGGUGGUGUUUUGGGGUUGUCAUUGAGUGUGGCGUAGAGUAGAGAAAGUGUCUUUUUUGGUAUGUUACCCGUGUCGCAUAAAUGGUAUAUUUGUUUUAGGGGUGUGGGUGUGGUUGUUGUGGUCUCGUUC
This is a non-coding RNA of Pelobates cultripes (western spadefoot toad), 1129 nucleotides long. NCBI's taxonomy places the organism in Eukaryota, Metazoa, Chordata, Amphibia, Anura, Pelobatidae. The record is from the annotation of a GenBank genome assembly.